UGCAGUCGAGCGGACAGAUGGGAGCUUGCUCCCUGAUGUUAGCGGCGGACGGGUGAGUAACACGUGGGUAACCUGCCUGUAAGACUGGGAUAACUCCGGGAAACCGGGGCUAAUACCGGAUGCUUGAUUGAACCGCAUGGUUCAAUUAUAAAAGGUGGCUUUUAGCUACCACUUACAGAUGGACCCGCGGCGCAUUAGCUAGUUGGGGAGGUAACGGCUCACCAAGGCGACAAUGCGUAGCCAACCUGAAAGGGGGAUCGGCCACACUGGGACUGAAACACGGCCCAAACUCCUACGGGAGGCAGCAGUAGGGAAUCUUCCGCAAUGGACGAAAGUCUGACGGAGCAACGCCGCGUGAGUGAUGAAGGUUUUCGGAUCGUAAAACUCUGUUGUUAGGGAAAAACAAGUACCGUUCGAAUAGGGCGGUACCUUGACGGUACCUAACCAAAAAGCCACGGCUAACUACGUGCCAGCAGCCGCGGUAAUACGUAGGUGGCAAGCGUUGUCCGGAAUUAUUGGGCGUAAAGCGCGCGCAGGCGGUUUCUUAAGUCUGAUGUGAAAGCCCCCGGUUCAACCGGGGAGGGUCAUUGGAAACUGGGGAACUUGAGUGCAAAAGAGGAGAGUGGAAUUCCACGUGUAGCGGUGAAAUGCGUAGAGAUGUGGAGGAACACCAGUGGCGAAGGCGACUCUCUGGUCUGUAACUGACGCUGAGGCGCGAAAGCGUGGGGAGCGAACAGGAUUAGAUACCCUGGUAGUCCACGCCGUAAACGAUGAGUGCUAAGUGUUAGAGGGUUUCCGCCCUUUAGUGCUGCAGCAAACGCAUUAACCACUCCGCCUGGGGAGUACGGUCCGCAAGACUGAAACUCAAAGGAAUUUGACGGGGGCCCGCCACAAGCGGUGGAAGCAUGGUGGUUUAAUUCGAAGCAACGCGAAGAACCCUUACCAAGGGUC
This 951-nucleotide ribosomal RNA is filed under the name Bacillus haynesii. RNAcentral's name for it is "bacterial SSU rRNA". It matches the Rfam family "Bacterial small subunit ribosomal RNA", at positions 56 to 982 of the family's 1533-position model. Lineage: Bacteria; Bacillati; Bacillota; Bacilli; Caryophanales; Bacillaceae. The record is from RNAcentral.